RNAcentral lists this ribosomal RNA (503 nucleotides) under uncultured bacterium. RNAcentral describes it as "partial 16S ribosomal RNA". It matches the Rfam family "Bacterial small subunit ribosomal RNA", at positions 28 to 523 of the family's 1533-position model. The record is from RNAcentral.
GAUGAACGCUAGCGGCAGGCCUAACACAUGCAAGUCGAGGGGUAGCAGGAUUAAGCUUGCUUAAUUGCUGACGACCGGCGCACGGGUGCGUAACGCGUAUGCAACCUACCUUAUACUGGGGUAUAGCCCGGAGAAAUUCGGAUUAAUCCCCCAUAGUACUAAUGAAUCGCAUGGUUUAUUGGUUAAAGCAUUGCGGUAUAAGAUGGGCAUGCGUCCUAUUAGCUAGAUGGUGAGGUAACGGCUCACCAUGGCUACGAUAGGUAGGGGGCCUGAGGGGGUGGUCCCCCACACUGGUACUGAGACACGGCCCAGACUCCUACGGGAGGCAGCAGUGAGGAAUAUUGGUCAAUGGGCGCAAGCCUGAACCAGCCAUGCCGCGUGCAGGAAGAAUGCCCUAUGGGUUGUAAACUGCUUUUAUUUGGGAAUAAACCUCUUUACGUGUAGAGAGCUGAAGGUACCAAAUGAAUAAGCACCGGCUAACUCCGUGCCAGCAGCCGCCGUAA